GAUGAAGAACGUAGCGAAAUGCGAUACGUAAUGUGAAUUGCAGAAUUCAGUGAAUCAUCGAGUCUUUGAACGCACAUUGCGCCCCCUGGUAUUCCGGGGGGCAUGCCUGUCCGAGCGUCAUUGCUGCCCUCAAGCACGGCUUGUGUGUUGGGCCUCCGUCCUCCUCCCGGGGGACGGGCCCGAAAGGCAGCGGCGGCACCGCGUCCGGUCCUCGAGCGUAUGGGGCUUCGUCACCCGCUCUUGUAGGCCCGGCCGGCGCUUGCCGACACAUCAAUCUUUUUUCCAGGCUGACCUCGGAUCAGGUAGGGAUACCCGCUGAACUUAAGCAUAUCAAUAAGCGGAGGA
Molecule: unclassified non-coding RNA, 345 nt
Filed under: soil metagenome
Description: partial contains 5.8S ribosomal RNA, internal transcribed spacer 2, and large subunit ribosomal RNA
Rfam family: 5.8S ribosomal RNA (bases 1-120)
Source: RNAcentral